GGGUGGGUUGCUGAGCGGUUUAAGGCAACGGUCUUGAAAAUCGUCGAACCGAAAGGUUCCGUGGGUUCGAAUCCCACCCCACCCGCCA
Molecule: transfer RNA, 88 nt
Filed under: Magnetococcales bacterium
Lineage: Bacteria; Pseudomonadati; Pseudomonadota; Magnetococcia; Magnetococcales
Description: tRNA-Ser
Rfam family: tRNA
About the family: Transfer RNA (tRNA) molecules are approximately 80 nucleotides in length. Their secondary structure includes four short double-helical elements and three loops (D, anti-codon, and T loops).
Source: RNAcentral